Molecule: ribosomal RNA, 253 nt
Filed under: uncultured bacterium
Lineage: Bacteria
Description: partial 16S ribosomal RNA
Rfam family: Bacterial small subunit ribosomal RNA
Source: RNAcentral
UACAGAGGGUGCAAGCGUUAAUCGGAAUGACUGGGCGUAAAGGGUGCGUAGGUGGCGAUAUAAGUUAGUUGUGAAAUCCCCGGGCUUAACCUGGGAACUGCAAUUGAUACUGUAUGGCUAGAGUUUGGUAGAGGAUAGUGGAAUUUCCGGUGUAGCGGUGAAAUGCGUAGAUAUCGGAAGGAACACCAGUGGCGAAGGCGACUAUCUGGCCCAAAACUGACACUGAGGCACGAAAGCGUGGGUAGCGAACAGG